This 525-nucleotide ribosomal RNA is filed under the name uncultured bacterium. RNAcentral's name for it is "partial 16S ribosomal RNA". It matches the Rfam family "Bacterial small subunit ribosomal RNA", at positions 355 to 895 of the family's 1533-position model. The record is from RNAcentral.
UGGGGAAUAUUGCACAAUGGGCGAAAGCCUGAUGCAGCAACGCCGCGUGAGUGAUGAAGGCCCUUCGGGUUGUAAAGCUCUGUCUUUUGGGACGAUAAUGACGGUACCAAAGGAGGAAGCCACGGCUAACUACGUGCCAGCAGCCGCGGUAAUACGUAGGUGGCAAGCGUUGUCCGGAUUUACUGGGCGUAAAGGAUGCGUAGGCGGAUUUUUAAGUGAGAUGUGAAAACCCUAAGCUUAACUUGGGGACUGCAUUUCAUACUGGAAAUCUAGAGUGCGGGAGAGGAGAAUGGAAUUCCUAGUGUAGCGGUGAAAUGCGUAGAGAUUAGGAAGAACACCAGUGGCGAAGGCGAUUCUCUGGACCGUAACUGACGCUGAGGCAUGAAAGCGUGGGUAGCAAACAGGAUUAGAUACCCUGGUAGUCCACGCCGUAAACGAUGAGUACUAGGUGUAGGAGGUAUCGACCCCUUCUGUGCCGCAGUUAACACAAUAAGUACUCCGCCUGGGAAGUACGAUCGCAAGAUU